This 253-nucleotide ribosomal RNA is filed under the name uncultured bacterium. RNAcentral describes it as "partial 16S ribosomal RNA". It matches the Rfam family "Bacterial small subunit ribosomal RNA", at positions 524 to 776 of the family's 1533-position model. The record is from RNAcentral.
UACAGAGGGGGCGAGCGUUGUUCGGAAUUACUGGGCGUAAAGGGCGCGUAGGCGGCCCGCUAAGUCGAACGUGAAAUCCCCAGGCUUAACCUGGGAACUGCGUCCGAUACUGGCAGGCUUGAAUCCGGGAGAGGGAUGUGGAAUUCCAGGUGUAGCGGUGAAAUGCGUAGAUAUCUGGAGGAACACCGGUGGCGAAGGCGGCAUCCUGGACCGGCAUUGACGCUGAGGCGCGAAAGCUAGGGGAGCAAACGGG